AUUAAACGCUGGCGGCAUGCCUUACACAUGCAAGUCGAACGGCAGCACGGGGGCAACCUUGGUGGCGAGUGGCGAACGGGUGAGUAAAGCAUCGGAACGUGCCCUGGAGUGGGGGAUAACGUAGCGAAAGUUACGCUAAUACCGCAUAUUCUGUGAGCAGGAAAGCAGGGGAUCGCAAGACCUUGCGCUCUGGGAGCGGCCGAUGUCGGAUUAGCUAGUUGGUGGGGUAAAGGCCUACCAAGGCGACGAUCCGUAGCGGGUCUGAGAGGAUGAUCCGCCACACUGGGACUGAGACACGGCCCAGACUCCUACGGGAGGCAGCAGUGGGGAAUUUUGGACAAUGGGCGCAAGCCUGAUCCAGCCAUGCCGCGUGAGUGAAGAAGGCCUCGG
This 390-nucleotide ribosomal RNA is filed under the name uncultured bacterium. Its description in RNAcentral is "bacterial SSU rRNA". It matches the Rfam family "Bacterial small subunit ribosomal RNA", at positions 29 to 420 of the family's 1533-position model. The record is from RNAcentral.